RNAcentral lists this ribosomal RNA (187 nucleotides) under Enterococcus faecium. RNAcentral's name for it is "partial 23S ribosomal RNA". It matches the Rfam family "Bacterial large subunit ribosomal RNA", at positions 1 to 182 of the family's 2925-position model. The record is from RNAcentral. Lineage: Bacteria; Bacillati; Bacillota; Bacilli; Lactobacillales; Enterococcaceae.
GAUAAGGUUAAGUGAAUAAGGGCGCACGGUGGAUGCCUUGGCACUAGGAGCCGAUGAAGGACGGGACUAACACCGAUAUGCUUUGGGGAGCUGUACGUAAGCUAUGAUCCAGAGAUUUCCGAAUGGGGGAACCCAACAUCUUUAAUAGGAUGUUACGAUUGUGUGAAUACAUAGCACAUUCGAGGUA